CCUACGGGUGACAGCAGUGAGGAAUAUUGGUCAAUGGACGCAAGUCUGAACCAGCCAUGCCGCGUGAAGGAAGACGGCUCUAUGAGUUGUAAACUGCUUUUGUACGAGGGUAAACUCAGAUACGCGUGUCUGUCUGUAAGUAUCGUACGAAUAAGGAUCGGCUAACUCCGUGCCAGCAGCCGCGGUAAUACGGAGGAUUCAAGCGUUAUCCGGAUUUAUUGGGUUUAAAGGGUGCGUAGGCGGUCGGAUAAGUUAGAGGUGAAAGCCCGAGGCUCAACUUCGGAAUUGCAUCUGAUACUGGUAGGCUAGAGAGUAGUUGCGGUAGGCGGAAUUUAUGGUGUAGCGGUGAAAUGCUUAGAGAUCAUACAGAACACCGAUUGCGAAGGCAGCUUACCAGGCUACAUCUGACGUUGAGGCACGAAAGCGUGGGGAGCAAACAGGAUUAGAUACCCCUGUAGUC
This 460-nucleotide ribosomal RNA is filed under the name uncultured bacterium. Its description in RNAcentral is "partial 16S ribosomal RNA". It matches the Rfam family "Bacterial small subunit ribosomal RNA", at positions 338 to 795 of the family's 1533-position model. The record is from RNAcentral.